RNAcentral lists this ribosomal RNA (465 nucleotides) under uncultured bacterium. RNAcentral's name for it is "partial 16S ribosomal RNA". It matches the Rfam family "Bacterial small subunit ribosomal RNA", at positions 28 to 507 of the family's 1533-position model. The record is from RNAcentral.
GACGAACGCUGGCGGCGUGCUUAACACAUGCAAGUCGAACGGAAAGGCCCCUUUUGGGGUGCUCGCUUGGCGAACGGGUGAGUAACACGUGCGUAACCUGCCCUUGACUUCCUGAUAACUUCCGUCAACUGGGGCUAAUACCGGACAGGAAUCCUUGCUGCCUGGAGGGUGGGGGUAGGCUUCGGGGGGUUUGGAUGGACUGGCUGCUUAUCAGGCUGUUGGUGGGGUAGUUGCUUACCAAGGCUUUGACUGGUGGCCGGCCCGGGAGGGCGGCCGGCCAACUUGGGACCGGGGUACGGCCCAGACUCCUACGGGGGGGAGGCGGGGGGAAUAUUGGACAAUUGGCGGGAGCCCGAUGGCACAACGCCCCGGGGGGGAUGACGGGCUUCCGGUUGUAAACCGGCUUCAGCAGGGGAGAAGGUGUGGGUGACGGUACCUGGAGAAGAAGCACCGGCUAACUACGUG